GCAGAUAUCAGUCUCACCUACAAUGAUAAGACAACUAAACCAGUAACCAUGCGAAGACGAGAAGCUGACACUUAAGUUCUCUUGCCUUCACAAGAACAUCAAUUUUGUCACCUUAGUCAUGCUCGGUGAACCUGAGUACAUAUGAACAAAUGCAACACACGUGUCAGCAUCCCUAGAGUGAGAUAUAAAAAGAUCUAAAGAAUUCCCUAUAGAGAAUGACAUCAACUGCAACUCUUGAAACAAAUUAUGCAUUAUUUAAAUCAAAAGUUCUAUAAUUCCUUCUUCUAUAAAUGAACUAUUACGCAAUUAGCACUACCCAAAAUUAUAUGCAGACACUACAGUUAACAAGACCUAAGCCUUGAAAGCAAAUUCUUGAAAAAGAAAACUCGAAAGAAAUUCCUUUUAAUCAUUUCCCACAAAAAGCUACGUGAAAUGUUUUCACAUUUAGUAGAUAAACCUUAACCGAAAGGGAAGUAGAUACAAGAGAAAAUUGGAAGUUGGAUCGGAGAAGAUCUGUGCCUGUGGAUUCUGAGCUUGGCCCUUAGGCACGUGUAAUAAACCGUUCUCCUGCAAUUUCAAUUAAAAAUGUUUCCCAUUUAGUAACGAUUGCAUAACUCAUUCGUGGCUAGCACCCACUCAGAAGGGCAUAACAAUGAGUAGAAAGUGUAUAAUAUAUAUAUGUCCAGAAACAAUUCCACUGUUAAGAAAGAGCAGAGUUUGAGGUUCAAACAUGCUUCACUUGUUCUACUUGCUUACUCUUGAUAAUAUUCACUUUCUCUUUCUUAAUCUAAUCUUAACUACACUUACUGGUGUUCUUAAAACUAAUUAUCGAGAUCUAAAGAAGAAUAUUCAACUAAUCACCCCCAAAAACAUAAAUUCGAGUCUAUAAUCUCAACUAAACCACAAGCACCAGUAGGAAAAACACAUUGAGAAUACAAUUUCUCACCUCGUUGCUGUAGUAGUUAUUACGAGCACGGAACGACUUAACAGGGAUGAAAUUCGCGGCCGCCCUCAGAUUCCGUGCCCUAAGUUCCUAAUUAUCAGUUGCCUGUGAAACAAAAAACCAAUUCGCAGAUUAAAUAAAUCGCCAUACACUAUUACGCGCCAGUACUCGAACAAAUAGCAAAAAACGAAUGAGAAAUUAC
This 1145-nucleotide long non-coding RNA is filed under the name Erythranthe guttata (spotted monkey flower). RNAcentral describes it as "long non-coding RNA (EGUT_LNC001278)". Lineage: Eukaryota; Viridiplantae; Streptophyta; Magnoliopsida; Lamiales; Phrymaceae. The record is from RNAcentral.